This 502-nucleotide ribosomal RNA is filed under the name uncultured delta proteobacterium. RNAcentral describes it as "bacterial SSU rRNA". It matches the Rfam family "Bacterial small subunit ribosomal RNA", at positions 44 to 523 of the family's 1533-position model. The record is from RNAcentral. Lineage: Bacteria; Deltaproteobacteria.
GUGCUUAACACAUGCAAGUCGAACGCGAAAGUGGUCUUCGGACCGCGAGUAGAGUGGCGCACGGGUGAGUAACGCGUAAAUAAUCUACCCUGAUGUCUGGAAUAAUUAGCCGAAAGGCUGACUAAUACGGGAUACAUGCUUUGCUGUUGGGUGAAGCAGGAAAGGUGGCCUCUAUUUAUAAGCUAUCGCAUUGGGAUGAGUUUGCGUACCAUUAGCUAGUUGGUGGGGUAAGAGCCCACCAAGGCGACGAUGGUUAGCGGGUCUGAGAGGAUGAUCCGCCACACUGGCACUGGAACACGGGCCAGACUCCUACGGGAGGCAGCAGUGAGGAAUAUUGCGCAAUGGGGGCAACCCUGACGCAGCGACGCCGCGUGAGUGAGGAAGGCCUUCGGGUCGUAAAGCUCUGUCAGCAGGGAAGAAGUGCAUGAUGGCUAAUAUCCAUUGUGUUUGACGGUACCUGCAAAGGAAGCACCGGCUAACUCCGUGCCAGCAGCCGCGGUAA